Molecule: transfer RNA, 73 nt
Filed under: Sphaerodactylus townsendi
Lineage: Eukaryota; Metazoa; Chordata; Lepidosauria; Squamata; Sphaerodactylidae
Description: tRNA-Val
Rfam family: tRNA
About the family: Transfer RNA (tRNA) molecules are approximately 80 nucleotides in length. Their secondary structure includes four short double-helical elements and three loops (D, anti-codon, and T loops).
Source: RNAcentral
GGAAGAUGUGGCUCGCGGGUAGAGUAUCUGCUCGACAUGCAGAAGGCUGCAGGUUCAAUUCCUGGCAUCUCUG